RNAcentral lists this ribosomal RNA (112 nucleotides) under Clostridium perfringens. RNAcentral's name for it is "partial 16S ribosomal RNA". It matches the Rfam family "Bacterial small subunit ribosomal RNA", at positions 1428 to 1533 of the family's 1533-position model. Lineage: Bacteria; Bacillati; Bacillota; Clostridia; Eubacteriales; Clostridiaceae. The record is from RNAcentral.
CCGUGAGCUAACCGCAAGGAGGCAGCGGCCGAAGGUAGGGUCAGCGAUUGGGGUGAAGUCGUAACAAGGUAGCCGUAGGAGAACCUGCGGCUGGAUCACCUCCUUUCUAAGG